This 407-nucleotide ribosomal RNA is filed under the name uncultured bacterium. Its description in RNAcentral is "bacterial SSU rRNA". It matches the Rfam family "Bacterial small subunit ribosomal RNA", at positions 355 to 776 of the family's 1533-position model. The record is from RNAcentral.
UGGGGAAUAUUGCGCAAUGGGGGGAACCCUGACGCAGCAACGCCGCGUGAAGGAUGAAGGUUUUCGGAUCGUAAACUUCUUUGAUGAGGGACGAAAUAAAUGACGGUACCUCAAAAACAAGCCACGGCUAACUACGUGCCAGCAGCCGCGGUAAUACGUAGGUGGCGAGCGUUGUCCGGAAUUACUGGGUGUAAAGGGCGUGUAGGCGGGAAUGCAAGUCAGAUGUGAAAUACCGAGGCUUAACUUCGGGGCUGCAUCUGAAACUGUGUUUCUUGAGUAUCGGAGAGGAAAGUGGAAUUCCCAGUGUAGCGGUGAAAUGCGUAGAUAUUGGGAGGAACACCAGUGGCGAAGGCGACUUUCUGGACGGUAACUGACGCUGAGGCGCGAAAGCGUGGGGAGCAAACAGG